ACUAGAACACACCCGUGAUAUCGCGGGUCCGUGACUGAAUUAAAGUAUAUAACUAUGCGUAUGCCUUAUUUUAGUAUUGGUAUUGUCAUCUGAUAAAGUCAUGCCGAUUAUAAGAUGCACAGUUUUCUCUGCUUUUCAAAAACUUCUGUUUGAACCCGUCGACCUGGAACCUAUCAAUUAUUGGUAAUAUUAAUAAUUUGGAAAACAAAAGGGUCUGGAAUGGAGUACUUUUUACUCAACAG
Molecule: long non-coding RNA, 242 nt
Filed under: Mytilus galloprovincialis (Mediterranean mussel)
Lineage: Eukaryota; Metazoa; Mollusca; Bivalvia; Mytilida; Mytilidae
Source: RNAcentral